Molecule: ribosomal RNA, 301 nt
Filed under: uncultured bacterium
Lineage: Bacteria
Description: partial 16S ribosomal RNA
Rfam family: Bacterial small subunit ribosomal RNA
Source: RNAcentral
CAGUAGCCGCGGUAAUACGAAGGGUGCAAGCGUUACUCGGAAUUACUGGGCGUAAAGCGUGCGUAGGUGGUGGUUUAAGUCCGUUGUGAAAGCCCUGGGCUCAACCUGGGAAUUGCAGUGGGUACUGGGUCACUAGAGUGUGGUAGAGGAUAGUGGAAUUUCCGGUGUAGCAGUGAAAUGCGUAGAGAUCGGAAGGAACAUCUGUGGCGAAGGCGACUAUCUGGGCCAACACUGACACUGAGGCACGAAAGCGUGGGGAGCAAACAGGAUUAGAGACCCCCGUAGUCCCUGUCUCUUAUAC